AAUAUUGGACAAUGGGGGCAACCCUGAUCCAGCCAUGCCGCGUGUGUGAAGAAGGUCUUCGGAUUGUAAAGCACUUUAAGUUGGGAGGAAGGGCUUUAGGUUAAUACGUUAAUGUUUUGACGUUACCAACCGAAUAAGCACCGGCUAACUCUGUUCCAGCAGCCGCGGUAAUACAGAGGGUGCAAGCGUUAAUCGGAAUUACCGGGCGUAAAGCGCGCGUAGGUGGUUCAUUAAGAUGGAUGUGAAAUCCCCGGGCUUAACCUGGGAACUGCUUUCAUAACUGGUGAGCUAGAGUACGGUAGAGGGUAGUGGAAUUUCCUGUGUAGCGGUGAAAUGCGUAGAUAUAGGAAGGAACACCAGUGGCGAAGGCGACUACCUGGACUGAUACUGACACUGAGGUGCGAAAGCGUGGGGAGCAAAC
RNAcentral lists this ribosomal RNA (421 nucleotides) under uncultured bacterium. Its description in RNAcentral is "partial 16S ribosomal RNA". It matches the Rfam family "Bacterial small subunit ribosomal RNA", at positions 360 to 773 of the family's 1533-position model. The record is from RNAcentral.